This 422-nucleotide ribosomal RNA is filed under the name uncultured bacterium. RNAcentral's name for it is "bacterial SSU rRNA". It matches the Rfam family "Bacterial small subunit ribosomal RNA", at positions 355 to 774 of the family's 1533-position model. The record is from RNAcentral.
UAAGGAAUAUCGGACAAUGGAGGCAACUCUGAUCCAGCCAUGCCGCGUGAAGGAAUAAGGCCCUAUGGGUUGUAAACUUCUUUUAGACGGGACAAAACCCCUUUACGUGUAAAGGGUUGAUGGUACUGUCAGAAUAAGCAUCGGCUAACUUCGUGCCAGCAGCCGCGGUAAUACGAAGGAUGCAAGCGUUAUCCGGAAUUAUUGGGUUUAAAGGGUGCGUAGGCGGACUAAUAAGUCAGUGGUGAAAGCCUGCAGCUUAACUGCAGAAUUGCCAUUGAUACUGUUAGUCUUGAGUACAGUUGAGGUAGGCGGAAUGUGUCACGUAGCGGUGAAAUGCUUAGAUAUGACACAGAACACCUAUUGCGAAGGCAGCUUGCUAAGCUGUAACUGACGCUGAGGCACGAAAGCGUGGGGAGCAAACA